Molecule: ribosomal RNA, 121 nt
Filed under: Rosa chinensis
Lineage: Eukaryota; Viridiplantae; Streptophyta; Magnoliopsida; Rosales; Rosaceae
Source: RNAcentral
GGGUGCGAUCAUACCAGCAAUAAUGCACCGGAUCCCAUCGGAACUCCGAAGUUAAGCUUGCUUGGGCGAGAGCAGUACUAGGAUGGGUGACCUCCUGGGAAGUCCUCGUGUUGCACCCCUC